This 464-nucleotide ribosomal RNA is filed under the name uncultured bacterium. RNAcentral describes it as "bacterial SSU rRNA". It matches the Rfam family "Archaeal small subunit ribosomal RNA", at positions 339 to 776 of the family's 1478-position model. The record is from RNAcentral.
GCGCGAAACCUUUACAAUGCGCGAAAGCGUGAUAAGGGAACUCUGAGUGGCAGCCGGCUUUUGCCGACUGUCUUUUGCCAACCCUAAACCGGUUGGAGAAUAAGUUCUGGGUAAGACCAGUGCCAGCCGCCAUGUGCUAUUUGCACAAUGCGCACGGUACGCGGUAAUACUGGCAGAACGAGUGGUGCCCACGAAUAUUGGGUCUAAAGAGACCGUAGCUGGCCUGUUAAGUCCACUGUGAAAUCUUGGGGCUCAACCUCAAGGCGUGCAGUGGAUACUGGCAGGCUUGAGAGCGGGGGAGGUCAGGAGUACUUACGGGGUAUGGGUAAAAUCAGUUGAUCCUGUAAGGACUACCAGUGGCGAAGGCGCCUGACCAAAACGCGUCUGACAGUGAGGGUCGAAGGCUAGGAGAACGAAUCGGAUUAGAUACCCAAGUAGUCCCUGAGCGGGCUGGCAAGGCGCAU